CACCGCGUAGUGUAGUGGUUAGCAUACUCGACUGACAAUCGAGAGGACCCGGGUUCGAGUCCCGGGAAGCGGCGA
This 75-nucleotide transfer RNA is filed under the name Portunus trituberculatus (swimming crab). Its description in RNAcentral is "tRNA-Val". The stretch from base 8 to 65 matches the Rfam family "tRNA", at positions 8 to 63 of the family's 71-position model. From Rfam's summary of the family: Transfer RNA (tRNA) molecules are approximately 80 nucleotides in length. Their secondary structure includes four short double-helical elements and three loops (D, anti-codon, and T loops). Further hydrogen bonds mediate the characteristic L-shaped molecular structure. tRNAs have two regions of fundamental functional importance: the anti-codon, which is responsible for specific mRNA codon recognition, and the 3' end, to which the tRNAs corresponding amino acid is attached (by aminoacyl-tRNA synthetases). tRNAs cope with the degeneracy of the genetic code in two manners: having more than one tRNA (with a specific anti-codon) for a particular amino acid; and 'wobble' base-pairing, i.e. permitting non-standard base-pairing at the 3rd anti-codon position. Lineage: Eukaryota; Metazoa; Arthropoda; Malacostraca; Decapoda; Portunidae. The record is from RNAcentral.